AUACGACUUUUUGGUUACCUGGCAACAUUUUUAUUAUGAAACGAACAUGCUCACAUCAUCAGUCACAUGCAACAAUUUAUUGGGGAUUUCCCCUUCACAUCUGGCAGUCCUGCUUGCUAGAAUAUAGAAAGAAAAAAAUGUCUGCCAAGCCGUAGCCGAAGCCGAUCUCCAAAUAUAUUUGGCGAUAGUGAGACCCAGUGUCCAGAUGAUUUACCCAGCGUCGUCGCAACAAAGAAAAAAACGAGGAUAAAGUAAAAGAAAAUUUACUGAAAGAAGAAACAAACUGUUCUAAAUGCUUAAUUUAUGGAGAAGAGGAUAAAAGAAAUGAGUAUUUCGGACUGUUAGUGGCUCAAGAAUUUAAAUAUAUACGGCCAUGUGUGCGAACGAGGUGUUAUGAAGAAAUUUUAAAGUAUCUACGGGAAGCAAAAGGCCAACAUGUUGAUCAACUGCAACAUGAAAACACUGAAAAUUAAUUACUUUCAUUUUAUUAUAUAUAGAUUUUUAAAAUUUCCUGAAAUAUUAUUAGUUAACGUUUUAUUUAAUAUUGUAGAAUUGAUCAAUACAAUUUAUAAAAAUAA
Molecule: long non-coding RNA, 578 nt
Organism: Galleria mellonella (greater wax moth)
Lineage: Eukaryota; Metazoa; Arthropoda; Insecta; Lepidoptera; Pyralidae
Exons: 2
Source: RefSeq, a predicted model, not a curated record